RNAcentral lists this transfer RNA (73 nucleotides) under Candidatus Rifleibacteriota bacterium. Its description in RNAcentral is "tRNA-Met". It matches the Rfam family "tRNA". Rfam says of the family: Transfer RNA (tRNA) molecules are approximately 80 nucleotides in length. Their secondary structure includes four short double-helical elements and three loops (D, anti-codon, and T loops). Further hydrogen bonds mediate the characteristic L-shaped molecular structure. tRNAs have two regions of fundamental functional importance: the anti-codon, which is responsible for specific mRNA codon recognition, and the 3' end, to which the tRNAs corresponding amino acid is attached (by aminoacyl-tRNA synthetases). tRNAs cope with the degeneracy of the genetic code in two manners: having more than one tRNA (with a specific anti-codon) for a particular amino acid; and 'wobble' base-pairing, i.e. permitting non-standard base-pairing at the 3rd anti-codon position. Lineage: Bacteria; Candidatus Rifleibacteriota. The record is from RNAcentral.
UGUGGGGUAGAGCAGUUGGUAGCUCGUCGGGCUCAUAACCCGGAGGUCGUUGGUUCAAAUCCUUCCCCCGCAA